UUCCCCUGGCAGCUUGUAGAGACACCUUGGUGGUGGUGUUGUGCUUAUAUCAAUCAGGGGUAGAGAAGAUGGACUGUCUUUUGUUUAUCCUAGCUUGAUUGGUGCCUGGCUUGGUGACCAAAGCUGUCUUAUGCCUAAGACUCAUAA
Rattus rattus (black rat) is the source of this 147-nucleotide small nucleolar RNA. RefSeq annotates it as small nucleolar RNA SNORA48. NCBI's taxonomy places the organism in Eukaryota, Metazoa, Chordata, Mammalia, Rodentia, Muridae. The record is from RefSeq and is a predicted model, not a curated record. The transcript has a single exon.